RNAcentral lists this long non-coding RNA (332 nucleotides) under Helianthus annuus (common sunflower). RNAcentral's name for it is "sRNA HanXRQr2_Chr12g0564931". The record is from RNAcentral. Lineage: Eukaryota; Viridiplantae; Streptophyta; Magnoliopsida; Asterales; Asteraceae.
GUUUGAUGAUUCUGGAGUGGAGCCAUUUUGUUUUGCCUUUUGAUAUCUGUUGCUGCAUCAGUUAAAGCCAACCGAUACUACACACAUCCAGGAAUGAGGCCUACACGGUUUACGGGCAGCCAAUUAUCAUGCCUUUUGGCCAUACAAUUGAACAUGAAGAGAUGCUUGAAGUUGUAAUAUUUGAAGGUCAAGCACUUGGACAAGAGGAUUCUUUUAUGUCACGUGGCAUUCAUCUCUUGUAACAUUUAGGAGCGGAUUUCUUAAGCUCGGGCUCGGUGGUUGUUAUUGAAAGAUCUUUGACAACAUCAACAUGCCAUUUUGUGUUUUCUUUA